Molecule: ribosomal RNA, 406 nt
Filed under: uncultured bacterium
Lineage: Bacteria
Description: partial 16S ribosomal RNA
Rfam family: Bacterial small subunit ribosomal RNA
Source: RNAcentral
GAUGAACGCUGACAGAAUGCUUAACACAUCAGCAAUUGAUUGGUGGCGGACGGGUAAGUAACGAGUAAAGAACUUCCCUCACAGUUAGGGACAACAUUUGGAAACGAAUGCUAAUACCUAAUACUGUGAGAGAGCUUUGCGUCCCAUUAGCUAGUUGGAGAGGUAACGGCUCACCAAGGCGAUGAUGGGUAGCCGGCCUGAGAGGGUGAUCGGGCAGAAGGGGACUGAGACACGGCCCUUACUCCUACGGGAGGCAGCAGUGGGGAAGAUUGGACAAUGGACCAAAGUCUGAUCUAGCAAUUCGGUGUGCACGAUGAAGUUUUCGGAAUGUAAAGGGCUUUCAGUUGUUAAGCGGUACCAACAGAAGAAGUGACGGCUAAAUACGUGCCAGCAGCAGCGGUAAUUC